Long non-coding RNA from Lates calcarifer (barramundi perch), 652 nucleotides. RefSeq lists it as uncharacterized. The transcript is spliced from 3 exons. NCBI's taxonomy places the organism in Eukaryota, Metazoa, Chordata, Actinopteri, Centropomidae. The record is from RefSeq and is a predicted model, not a curated record.
UUAAUUCAGGAGUAAAACCUGUUUAAUAUCUGUUGUUCUACUUUCCGCAGUUCUUCAGUGUGCAGGUCAAGUUGAGAUGGAGCUGCAUGGAGGCAAUCUUGGGAAGCCGGAGCCCCCUCCCACAUCUUCUGCCUUGUGCUGUCAGCCCUCCUGAGUCGAUACAAACUGUAGCCUGGGGCCCGGCCUGGACUCCCCACUGAGGUUCUGGCCUACCGCUGGGAGAUCAAAGACCCGCCGAGAACAAUGCCUGUCUGCAGCGUGUACACAGCUGGUUGGAAGACAAGACCUCCCGAUUCACGUAAAAGGCCCGAAUGACGUCGCCAAGCCCCAGCACAAUUUUAUUUAAGCCAUUACAGCUCCUGGGAGUGUAUUGGUGGGGGCUCGGUUCCACAUGAGAGGACUUCCUCCUCACCAGGCAGUGUUUAAAGAAGAGCAACAGGUGGCUGCUGGCAGAGGGAACCUGAGGCUAAGUGGAUGUCAAAGUGGAAUUGUGGCUGAAUCACGGCUAUUUAUUUGACCCUCCUCACAUCUGCACUCUUCCCCUCUGAGAAGGAAGUGAUGGGAGGGGAGAAGAGCAGAGGGGCGGUUUGUUCGGCUCCUCUCCACAAGUUAAUGUGGGGCUGGGGGAUGUGUGUGUGUGUGUGUGUGUGAG